UGAGCCGGUGUUGUCACACUCAACUGUUAAGGACGACCAUAUUUCGUUAAACAUAAUACAAAAAAAGAUUGAUUUUCAAUAAGUGGAUGAUUGAUCAUUGAUGUGAAGGUGAAAAUGGAUGACACUGAAGAUUCCGAGACAUACACAAUUUAUUUGCGUAUCAAUGACGAGCCUUUCUUCGCCAAAACUGGACUAUCAAAAUUGAAAUAUCUCCAAUUCAAGUGUGAUGAUGAGUGGACGUGGGACUUUAUUCAAUCGAUCUAUGGUCCAGGUGGGGUAAAGUGGAAGCCAA
Molecule: long non-coding RNA, 292 nt
Organism: Diachasma alloeum
Lineage: Eukaryota; Metazoa; Arthropoda; Insecta; Hymenoptera; Braconidae
Exons: 3
Source: RefSeq, a predicted model, not a curated record